This 75-nucleotide transfer RNA is filed under the name Spirochaetota bacterium. RNAcentral's name for it is "Spirochaetes bacterium tRNA-Met". It matches the Rfam family "tRNA". Rfam says of the family: Transfer RNA (tRNA) molecules are approximately 80 nucleotides in length. Their secondary structure includes four short double-helical elements and three loops (D, anti-codon, and T loops). Lineage: Bacteria; Pseudomonadati; Spirochaetota. The record is from RNAcentral.
UGCGGCGGAGUGACGUGGUCUCACGGCGGGCUCAUAACCCGCAAAUUCUGGGUUCAAUUCCCAGCGCCGCUACCA